RNAcentral lists this ribosomal RNA (543 nucleotides) under fungal endophyte sp. MS4. Its description in RNAcentral is "eukaryotic LSU rRNA". The stretch from base 201 to 354 matches the Rfam family "5.8S ribosomal RNA". Lineage: Eukaryota; Fungi. The record is from RNAcentral.
UGGGAUGCGGAGGGACAUUGCUGGACGCGCCCCAGGCGCACCCAGAAACCCUUUGUGAACUUAUACCUUACCGUUGCCUCGGCGCCAGCUGGUCCUCCGGGGCCCCUCACCCGCCUGCGGGUGUUGAGAGAGCACGCCGGCGGCCAACCUAACUCUUGUUUUUACACUGAAACUCUGAGAAUAAAACAUAAAUGAAUCAAAACUUUCAACAACGGAUCUCUUGGUUCUGGCAUCGAUGAAGAACGCAGCGAAAUGCGAUAAGUAAUGUGAAUUGCAGAAUUCAGUGAAUCAUCGAAUCUUUGAACGCACAUUGCGCCCUCUGGUAUUCCGGAGGGCAUGCCUGUUCGAGCGUCAUUUCAACCCUCAAGCCUGGCUUGGUGAUGGGGCACUGCCUUGUGUAAAAACGAGGCAGGCCCUGAAAUGGGAGGAGUCGGUUCACACUAGAGCAGUAGUAAAUUUAUCUCUCCGGACAGCCGGGCCGGUCCCCUGCCGUAUAAACACACCAAUUUUUAAAGGUUGACCUCGGAUCCAAGGUAGGAAAUC